CACAAACACAAGAGUAAAGAAAGCAAUGGCAUCGGAUUCGAUCCCUGCAAUUAAUGAAGCUAUAAGGAAUUGCACAUCAACUUCACCUCUACACCCAAAAGAGACCACUCCAGCCUGUUGAUUCUCUCUUCGUUCCCACUAUCUCUCUCUCUCUCUCUCCCCGCUUCUCUAUGGAAUUCAUCAAACUUUGUUUCUGCAAAUAAUGUUUCUCAUUUCCUCUUUCUCAAUCAUGUCAAAACCAGAAAAAUCCCAUGCUGUCGUCGACGACCCUUCCCGCCUCCAGUGAUUCGUACGUUCUGCUUUCAGCUUUUAUACGUAUUUUUGCAGUAUAUUAAUUACUUAUACUUAGAUUUAUUUAAAUACUUUUAUUAUUAAUAUUAUUGUUAUUACUAUUUGAUUGAAUUGGAAGGAUUUGUAUAGAGCAGGAGUACCUGGAGAUGGAAGAUGUUUGUUCAGAUCAGUGGUAUAUGGUGCCUGCCUCAGAUCUGGCGACCCAUCUCCCAGCAACGCCAAGCAAAAACAACUCGCAGAUGAUCUCAGAAACAAAGUAGUGGAUGAAUUCAUCAAGAGGAGAGCAGACACUGCAUGGUUUCUUGAGGGUGACUUUGACACCUACACAGGACAAAUGCGAAAGUCUCACGUUUGGGGAGGGGAGCCGGAGCUUCUCAUGUCCUCUCAUGUUUUACAGAUGCCAAUAAGAGUGGUGAUGCAAGACAAGAAAAGCAGAGGAGUGAAGGUGAUAGCAGAAUAUGGGCAAGAGUAUGGGAAGGAUUGCCCAAUCCAAGUGAUGUAUCAUGGUUAUGGUCACUAUGAUGUGCUCAAGACUCAACCUGCUUCUACAUGUACUCACUAUACUUCUAACAAUAUCUGUAAGGACUAACUUUAAUUUACAGUAUCUUCAUUGGUA
Prosopis cineraria is the source of this 907-nucleotide long non-coding RNA. RefSeq lists it as uncharacterized. The record is from RefSeq and is a predicted model, not a curated record. Lineage: Eukaryota; Viridiplantae; Streptophyta; Magnoliopsida; Fabales; Fabaceae. The transcript is spliced from 4 exons.